ACGGGAGGCAGCAGUGGGGAAUAUUGGGCAAUGGACGAAAGUCUGACCCAGCGACGCCGCGUGAAGGAAGAAGGUCUUCGGAUUGUAAACUUUAGUCAACAGGGAAGAAACAAAUGACGGUACCUGUGGAGGAAGCCACGGCUAACUACGUGCCAGCAGCCGCGGUAAUACGUAGGUGGCAAGCGUUAUCCGGAUUUACUGGGUGUAAAGGGUGUGUAGGCGGGACUGCAAGUCAGAUGUGAAAACUAUGGGCUCAACCCAUAGCCUGCAUUUGAAACUGUAGUUCUUGAGUGUCGGAGAGGUAAACGGAAUUCCCGGUGUAGCGGUGAAAUGCAUAGAUAUCGGGAGGAACACCAGUGGCGAAGGCGGUUUACUGGACGACAACUGACGCUGAGACACGAAAGUAUGGGGAGCAAACAGGAUUAGAUACCCUGGUA
Molecule: ribosomal RNA, 437 nt
Filed under: uncultured Oscillospiraceae bacterium
Lineage: Bacteria; Bacillati; Bacillota; Clostridia; Eubacteriales; Oscillospiraceae
Description: partial 16S ribosomal RNA
Rfam family: Bacterial small subunit ribosomal RNA
Source: RNAcentral